This 386-nucleotide ribosomal RNA is filed under the name uncultured bacterium. Its description in RNAcentral is "bacterial SSU rRNA". It matches the Rfam family "Bacterial small subunit ribosomal RNA", at positions 30 to 426 of the family's 1533-position model. The record is from RNAcentral.
AUUGAACGCUGGCGGCAGGCUUAACACAUGCAAGUCGAGCGGUAACACUUCGGGUGACGAGCGGCGGACGGGUGAGUAAUACAUAGGAAUCUGCCUAGUAGUGGGGGAUAACGUAGGGAAACUUACGCUAAUACCGCAUACAUCCUACGGGGGAAAGCAGGGGAUCUUCGGACCUUGCGCUAUUAGAUGAGCCUAUGUCGGAUUAGCUAGUUGGUGAGGUAAAGGCUCACCAAGGCGACGAUCCGUAGCUGGUCUGAGAGGAUGACCCGCCACACUGGAACUGAGACACGGUCCAGACUCCUACGGGAGGCAGCAGUGGGGAAUUUUGGACAAUGGGGGCAACCCUGAUCCAGCCAUUCCGCGUGAGUGAAGAAGGCCUUGGUUGU